This 483-nucleotide ribosomal RNA is filed under the name uncultured bacterium. RNAcentral's name for it is "partial 16S ribosomal RNA". It matches the Rfam family "Bacterial small subunit ribosomal RNA", at positions 30 to 507 of the family's 1533-position model. The record is from RNAcentral.
UUGCACGCUGGCGGCAGGCCUCACACAUGCAAGUCGCGCGGAUGAAGGGAGCUUGCUCCUGGAUUCAGCGGCGGACGGGUGAGUAAUGCCUAGGAAUCUGCCUGGUAGUGGGGGAUAACGUCCGGAAACGGGCGCUAAUACCGCAUACGUCCUGAGGGAGAAAGUGGGGGAUCUUCGGACCUCACGCUAUCAGAUGAGCCUAGGUCGGAUUAGCUAGUUGGUGGGGUAAAGGCCUACCAAGGCGACGAUCCGUAACUGGUCUGAGAGGAUGAUCAGUCACACUGGAACUGAGACACGGUCCAGACUCCUACGGGAGGCAGCAGUGGGGAAUAUUGGACAAUGGGCGAAAGCCUGAUCCAGCCAUGCCGUGUGUGUGAAGAAGGUCUUCGGAUUGUAAAGCACCUUAAGUUGGGAGGAAGGGCAGUAAGUUAAUACCUUGCUGUUUUGACGUUACCAACAGAAUAAGCACCGGCUAACUUCGUG